Molecule: ribosomal RNA, 482 nt
Filed under: uncultured bacterium
Lineage: Bacteria
Description: partial 16S ribosomal RNA
Rfam family: Bacterial small subunit ribosomal RNA
Source: RNAcentral
GACGAACGCUGGAGGCGUGCUUAACACAUGCAAGUCGAACGAUGAAAUGGAGCUUGCUCCAUGGAUUAGUGGCGAACGGGUGAGUAACACGUGAAUAACCUGCCCUUAAUUUUGGAAUAACCCAGGGAAACCUGGGCUAAUACCGGAUAAGUAAACCUGUGGCAUCACAUGGUUUUGGAAAGUUUUUCGAUUAAGGAUGGAUUCGCGGCCUAUCAGCUUGUUGGUGAGGUAAUGGCUCACCAAGGCGACGACGGGUAGCCGGCCUGAGAGGGUGAACGGCCACAGUGGGACUGAGACACGGCCCAGACUCCUACGGGAGGCAGCAGUGGGGAAUAUUGCGCAAUGGACGAAAGUCUGACGCAGCGACGCCUCGUGAGGGACGAAGGUCUUCGGAUUGUAAACCUCUUUCAGCAGGGACGAAGCGAAAGUGACGGUACCUGCAGAAGAAGCACCGGCUAACUAUGUGCCAGCAGCCGCCGCCG